Molecule: ribosomal RNA, 581 nt
Filed under: Microbacterium sp.
Lineage: Bacteria; Bacillati; Actinomycetota; Actinomycetes; Micrococcales; Microbacteriaceae
Description: bacterial SSU rRNA
Rfam family: Bacterial small subunit ribosomal RNA
Source: RNAcentral
UGCCCUGGACUCUGGGAUAAGCGCUGGAAACGGCGUCUAAUACUGGAUAUGAGACGUGAUCGCAUGGUCGUGUUUGGAAAGAUUUUUCGGUCUGGGAUGGGCUCGCGGCCUAUCAGCUUGUUGGUGAGGUAAUGGCUCACCAAGGCGUCGACGGGUAGCCGGCCUGAGAGGGUGACCGGCCACACUGGGACUGAGACACGGCCCAGACUCCUACGGGAGGCAGCAGUGGGGAAUAUUGCACAAUGGGCGGAAGCCUGAUGCAGCAACGCCGCGUGAGGGAUGACGGCCUUCGGGUUGUAAACCUCUUUUAGCAGGGAAGAAGCGAAAGUGACGGUACCUGCAGAAAAAGCGCCGGCUAACUACGUGCCAGCAGCCGCGGUAAUACGUAGGGCGCAAGCGUUAUCCGGAAUUAUUGGGCGUAAAGAGCUCGUAGGCGGUUUGUCGCGUCUGCUGUGAAAUCCCGAGGCUCAACCUCGGGCCUGCAGUGGGUACGGGCAGACUAGAGUGCGGUAGGGGAGAUUGGAAUUCCUGGUGUAGCGGUGGAAUGCGCAGAUAUCAGGAGGAACACCGAUGGCGAAGGC